This 173-nucleotide ribosomal RNA is filed under the name Limosilactobacillus reuteri. Its description in RNAcentral is "Lactobacillus reuteri partial 23S ribosomal RNA". It matches the Rfam family "Bacterial large subunit ribosomal RNA", at positions 2471 to 2642 of the family's 2925-position model. Lineage: Bacteria; Bacillati; Bacillota; Bacilli; Lactobacillales; Lactobacillaceae. The record is from RNAcentral.
GGGAUAACAGCGUAAUUAUUUUAGAGAGUUCAUAUCGAUAAAAUAGAUUGCGACCUCGAUGUUGAAUUAAGAGUAAGUUUAGGUGUAGAAGUUUAAAUUUUAAGUCUGUUCGACUUUUAAAUUCUUACAUGAUUUGAGUUCAGACCGGUGUAAGCCAGGUUGGUUUCUAUCUU